This 777-nucleotide ribosomal RNA is filed under the name uncultured Neocallimastigales. RNAcentral's name for it is "partial large subunit ribosomal RNA". It matches the Rfam family "Eukaryotic large subunit ribosomal RNA", at positions 24 to 644 of the family's 3401-position model. The record is from RNAcentral. Lineage: Eukaryota; Fungi; Neocallimastigomycota; Neocallimastigomycetes; Neocallimastigales.
UAUCUCUGUAGAGUCUGCAUAUCAAUAAGCGGAGGAAAAGAAACUAACAAGGAUUCCCUUAGUAACGGCGAGUGAAGCGGGAAGAGCUCAAAUUUGAAAUCUUCAAGGUUCUACCUUGACGAAUUGUAGUUUAAAGAAGUGUUUUCUGUUAGAUGAGUAGCAAAAGUUCUCUGGAAUAGGGACAUCAUAGAGGGUGAGAAUCCCGUAUUUGGUCAUUCCUUCUAGCUUUGUGAUACACUUUCAAAGAGUCGGAUUGUUUGGGAAUGCAGUCCAAAAUGGGUGGUAAAUUUCAUCUAAAGCUAAAUAUUGGCGAGAGACCGAUAGCGAACAAGUACCGUGAGGGAAAGAUGAAAAGAGCUUUGAAAAGAGAGUUAAACAGUACGUGAAAUUGUCCAAAAGGGAAGCGUUUGACACCAGUGUUGUUUUUCCGAAAAUCAAUUACGAAUGGCUUGAUUUUGUGUUGUAUUGACCUUAUCAGCUUUCUUCACUUUUUUCGAGUCUUUCUUAAUGCACUUUUUCGGUUAACAAGUCAACAUCAAUUUCUUUUGUUGUAAAAGAGUAUUCGGAAGGUGGCUUUCUUUUCGGAGAAAGUGUUUAUAGCCCUAUACUUCUACAAUCGGAGAGAUUGAGGUCUGCAGCGUAGAUCCUUCGGGGUUAGAUACACUUGUGCUAAGUUGUAGCUUUUCAUAGACAACUUGUUGACUAUGUUUAGUCAUGCGGCUUACUCGCUUGUGCUAUUUUACCUACGCUUAGGAUGUUGACUGAUAUGUAGUCGUA